UGGGGAAUAUUGGACAAUGGGCGCAAGCCUGAUCCAGCCAUGCCGCGUGAGUGAUGAAGGCCCUAGGGUUGUAAAGCUCUUUCACCGGUGAAGAUAAUGACGGUAACCGGAGAAGAAGCCCCGGCUAACUUCGUGCCAGCAGCCGCGGUAAUACGAAGGGGGCUAGCGUUGUUAGGAUUUACUGGGCGUAAAGCGCACGUAGGCGGACUAUUAAGUCAGGGGUGAAAUCCCGGGGCUCAACCCCGGAACUGCCUUUGAUACUGGUAGUAUUGAGUUCGAGAGAGGUGAGUGGAAUUCCGAGUGUAGAGGUGAAAUUCGUAGAUAUUAGAAGGAACACCAGUGGCGAAGGCGGCUCACAGGCUCGAUACUGACGCUGGGGUGCGAAAGCGUGGGGAGCAAACAGG
This 404-nucleotide ribosomal RNA is filed under the name Actinomycetes bacterium. Its description in RNAcentral is "Actinobacteria bacterium partial 16S ribosomal RNA". It matches the Rfam family "Bacterial small subunit ribosomal RNA", at positions 355 to 776 of the family's 1533-position model. Lineage: Bacteria; Bacillati; Actinomycetota; Actinomycetes. The record is from RNAcentral.